GGGGAUGUAGCUUAGUGGCACAGCACAUGCUCAGUAUGCAUGAGGCCCUGGGUUUGAGAUCCAGCAUUUCCG
This 72-nucleotide transfer RNA is filed under the name Heterocephalus glaber (naked mole-rat). It matches the Rfam family "tRNA". From Rfam's summary of the family: Transfer RNA (tRNA) molecules are approximately 80 nucleotides in length. Lineage: Eukaryota; Metazoa; Chordata; Mammalia; Rodentia; Bathyergidae. The record is from Rfam by way of RNAcentral.